This is a non-coding RNA of Paramuricea clavata, 73 nucleotides long. The record is from the annotation of a GenBank genome assembly. NCBI's taxonomy places the organism in Eukaryota, Metazoa, Cnidaria, Anthozoa, Malacalcyonacea, Plexauridae.
UAGCGUGUAGCUCAGUUGGCAGAGCAUUGGGCUAGUAUUCCAAAGGUCGUAGGUUCGAUUCCCACCGUGGUCA